Molecule: unclassified non-coding RNA, 374 nt
Filed under: fungal sp.
Lineage: Eukaryota; Fungi
Description: partial internal transcribed spacer region
Rfam family: Eukaryotic small subunit ribosomal RNA (bases 1-46)
Source: RNAcentral
AAGUCGUAACAAGGUUUCCGUAGGUGAACCUGCGGAAGGAUCAUUACCAAUUCGAUCACAUGUGAUGUGGGGCUCUGGCUUCAUGUCAUUCAACCAACCCUUGAUUGUGAACCUGUGAGAAUUACAAGUCUUUCCGUGGUGGUGGUGGUGGUGGUGGGGUAUCCCGCCGCCACAUAUCCACCCACGGGGAGCAAUCUUUUAUUCAACCCCAAAGAUGGAGGACGAGGCGUGUGAGAGCGUUGGUUCUGAGGCACACAGUGUUUCUGACACCCUACCCACACCCUGCUUAUACUCCACAAAAGGAAGCGAUGAGCUCCGAAUACAAGAAAUAAAAAAGUUGUAUACAACUUUUAACGGCGGAUCUCUUGGCUCGU